Agelaius phoeniceus (red-winged blackbird) is the source of this 209-nucleotide long non-coding RNA. RefSeq lists it as uncharacterized. The record is from RefSeq and is a predicted model, not a curated record. Lineage: Eukaryota; Metazoa; Chordata; Aves; Passeriformes; Icteridae.
UUUGGCUUCAGUUUCAGCGACCGGGAAAGGGCGAAGCCGCUCUCUAAAAUACCCUGGUGUGAGCCAGCUUUGUUGCUUUGAAGAUGGGGAUCUGGUCUUCAGAAUACCGCAAUAUCUCUAAUAAAAUAGAGAAAUUAUAAAACCAUAGAAAACUCCAUUGCUGUCUUGCAGUCUUACUGCCAUUAAUGGGAGCUUUACACUCAAUUACC